Mycena crocata is the source of this 110-nucleotide non-coding RNA. NCBI's taxonomy places the organism in Eukaryota, Fungi, Basidiomycota, Agaricomycetes, Agaricales, Mycenaceae. The record is from the annotation of a GenBank genome assembly.
UCGGGUGUGGUGCAUGGUGCACGGCAGUGUCUUGUAGAAAAGUGGUGGCUUUGAAAAAAAAAAACCCAAGCUGCAGAUCGGGGACCGGGGUUCGACUCCCCGCACCCGAA